ACCUUCGUACUGUGGCGUGAGAAUUCAAUGUUUCAAGUGUGUAUAAAUAUGAUCUCGAUCAUCCCCUGUCAUUAAUACUUUUUCACUUUGAGUAUAUGCAGAUUUUGAAAAUGAUGAACUUGAUUUAAAUAAGUAUACUCAAGUAUGUGCGGUUAUCUUGCAACUAUAGCAAAUUUUAGGUUACUCAAAAAUCAAAAGUGAUAAAAUAAAGCUUACACACUAUACUGUACAUUCAUUGAUGCGUUAUCUCGAUUCCGGUUAAAAAGUAUUUUGCCGACUGCUAUCUGCGAUCACCCGACGUUGGGAAUGCGAAGUAGAGUAUAAAGUUCAAACAAAGUAUCUAAUACUGUUGGCAACUUGCGAGUUGCUCGAACUGUACCGGAGUUUAUAUUGUUUUGAAUUCUUAAGAUUAAGGUUUUAGUACAACACAAAAGUAUGGCCGGAUGUAAACAUGAUAGAUUAAAAGGUAGUAGACAAAGUAUGUAAUAUUUUACUGUUAGCCGCUUACUGUAAUAAUAAAAUUUAAUGUAUAUUUAAACUAUUUACUAACACAAAAUGUCAUCUGAAUUUCGAUACGAAAACUAAUUAUUGCAUAGUGUGACUGAUAUAACUGAGUGAAAUCGAGACAAUAUUGGGAGUAGUUUAUUUGAACAGGUGAUUUGAGUUUAGUGUUUAAAGAUUAAAAAAAUUAAAACACCUGCACGAUGUAGGGGACUUAUCUUUUUUUUUCUAAAAGUGAUUCAUAUUUGUGAUCUCAUAUAGUCUUAGAAAAAAGAUUAGCUUUUCUUUGUCGAACUGCGUGCACAGAAUUUUUGAAAUAAUGUGAAAAAUGUUUAAGAAAUAGUUGAACUAUUUUAUUUUUGAAACUUCGUAAAUCACUUGAGAGUUCGUAGUAUUAUAAUCUUAUCAAUCGGAUGAUCUUGUUACUUCCAAGCCAUCUUUACCGAAAUUUCGGCCGUAAAUGGCAAAUGUUAAUAAGCCAUUUCUAGCCUUAGUCAAAUACAUUUUGUGACUUGAAAUUUUAUUAACGUUCUUGAUAUUAAAGGAAAAAUCCAAUGGUUGAAAUAGCA
Molecule: long non-coding RNA, 1070 nt
Organism: Nasonia vitripennis (jewel wasp)
Lineage: Eukaryota; Metazoa; Arthropoda; Insecta; Hymenoptera; Pteromalidae
Exons: 2
Source: RefSeq, a predicted model, not a curated record